CACCGUGCACGCGCAUAAACUCUGGGUAACCAGUUGGAGGUUGAUUAAACUAACUCUUCUCAGGUGUUUUGGAACCGACACACUCCUGGUGUGCCUGUUUGGGGUAAAGCAACCCAGAGGUUAUGAUUUACCAAAUGGGUCACAACCCUGUAGAACUCAUAAUAAUGGAAUCAGUGGAGAUCCAAAAUUGCUCUUCUGGAAAACAUCCAUGGAGUUCUGCAGACUCACAGUGAAACACCAGGAGGCUUCAGCAGCUUUCAGCUCCACACCAGCUGUAUCCUACAUCUCCAUGUGCUUCCACACAGAUCAUCCAAGUGUGCUCUGGGUGGGCGGGACUUACUGUCUCUCGUUUGUCAAUCAUAUUCAAGGCUUGUUUCAACGACUGACACAUAAAGAACUGCAAAGAAGCUGAAACUCUCUCUCUCUCUCUCUCUCUCUCUCUCUCUCUCUCUCUCUCUCUCUGUGUAUCUACUCUC
Molecule: long non-coding RNA, 476 nt
Organism: Tachysurus fulvidraco (yellow catfish)
Lineage: Eukaryota; Metazoa; Chordata; Actinopteri; Siluriformes; Bagridae
Exons: 3
Source: RefSeq, a predicted model, not a curated record